AAAUUGAAGAGUUUGAUCAUGGCUCAGAUUGAACGCUGGCGGCAGGCCUAACACAUGCAAGUCGAGCGGAAACGACACUAACAAUCCUUCGGGUGCGUUAAUGGGCGUCGAGCGGCGGACGGGUGAGUAAUGCCUAGGAAAUUGCCUUGAUGUGGGGGAUAACCAUUGGAAACGAUGGCUAAUACCGCAUAAUGCCUACGGGCCAAAGAGGGGGACCUUCGGGCCUCUCGCGUCAAGAUAUGCCUAGGUGGGAUUAGCUAGUUGGUGAGGUAAU
RNAcentral lists this ribosomal RNA (274 nucleotides) under Vibrio sp. ZF 223. RNAcentral describes it as "partial 16S ribosomal RNA". It matches the Rfam family "Bacterial small subunit ribosomal RNA", at positions 1 to 261 of the family's 1533-position model. Lineage: Bacteria; Pseudomonadati; Pseudomonadota; Gammaproteobacteria; Vibrionales; Vibrionaceae. The record is from RNAcentral.